This 1155-nucleotide long non-coding RNA is filed under the name Nicotiana tabacum (common tobacco). Its description in RNAcentral is "long non-coding RNA (NTAB_LNC003521)". Lineage: Eukaryota; Viridiplantae; Streptophyta; Magnoliopsida; Solanales; Solanaceae. The record is from RNAcentral.
AUUAGAACUUAACUGAAGUAACUAAUUCAAAAAGAUUUAUAUAGAUACAUAGGGACCGACAAGGCCGUUGACAUGUCAUACCUAAAACUAUACACAAGACACUGUUUGCAAAAUCUCUAAGAAAACAUGACCAUAAUAUAUAAGUCGGGACAAGGUUCCCGACAUCCUCAUUAAAUAAAAUAACAUAUAUAGAACGUGACUCGGCAAUACUCCAGGAAGAAGUGGAGCUCACCAACCAAAAGCUGAUAUCUGGAGGCAGCCUACAGUAGAGGGUCCUCACCUCGCCUAUCUAUACCUGCGUGGCAUGAAACACAGCGCCCCGGGAAAAGGGACGUCAGUACGAAGAAUGUACCGAGUAUGUAAGGCAAAAAUAAAAUGUAAUAAGAUACUAUCUCGGGGAGGGAUAAGAGUCAACUUAUAACUUCUGACUUGCCGCUAAGGGCCAUAACAUAUAGCAUAAAACCCAUCUCAUAUAUAUAAAUAAAACUACAAUAUAAUAAUUCUGAUUACAUCAUUCUUGUGACGUUCACUGCCCAACUGAUCAGUGGUAACUAUCUGACUGGCCGUAGCGCGGUGGUAAAUGCAUGACUGCUCGACCGGCCAUAGCUCGGUGGUAAAUGUGUAACUGCCCAACCGACCGUAGCUCGGUGGUAAAUACAUGACUACCCGGACGGCCGUAGCUCGGUGAUAAAUGCAUGACUGCCAGACCGGUCGUAGCUCGGUGGUAAAUGUGUAUGCAUGUCUGCCCAACCAGCCGUAGCACGGUGGUAAAUUCAUGAAGAUGCAUGUAUCACUAUAUUAUAAACAUUAACAUUACAUUUACAUAGCGUUACUUGGAUCAUGCCAAAAGAAAGAAGGAUUAUCCUUAACAUACCUUUAAUGUCAACUUCCUACUUGUAUAUGUAAGCAAUCUCCUCAAUCUUAUAUGCCAAAACUAGUUUUCUUCCACCGUACUUCAUUACGAAGAAAUCUCCAAAUUUUUAUCAUCUUGAGGAAACCAAUAUGGAAAUACACAUCUAUGUUCUUCACGGUUUGCUUUAAUGCAAAGAGAUAUAUCUACCUUUGUAGCUCAAAUUUCUCAAGGUCCGUUUCUAAUCUUGUUGAGAAGAUGCAAACAAAUAUAUUUUUCUUGUUAAAAACGUUGCUUGUGAUAUG